CAGCAGCCACGGUAAUACGAAGGGGGCUAGCGUUGUUCGGAUUUACUGGGCGUAAAGGGCGCGUAGGCGGACUGAUAAGUCAGGGGUGAAAUCCCAAGGCUCAACCUUGGAACUGCCUUUGAUACUGUUUGUCUUGAGUUCGAGAGAGGUAAGUGGAACUGCGAGUGUAGAGGUGAAAUUCGUAAAUAUUCGCGAGAACACCAGUGGCGAAGGCGGCUUACUGGCUCGAAACUGACGCUGAGGCGCGAAAGCGUGGGGAGCAAACAGGAUUAGAGACCCCUGUAGUCCCUGUCUCUUAUAC
Molecule: ribosomal RNA, 301 nt
Filed under: uncultured bacterium
Lineage: Bacteria
Description: partial 16S ribosomal RNA
Rfam family: Bacterial small subunit ribosomal RNA
Source: RNAcentral